This 253-nucleotide ribosomal RNA is filed under the name uncultured bacterium. RNAcentral describes it as "partial 16S ribosomal RNA". It matches the Rfam family "Bacterial small subunit ribosomal RNA", at positions 524 to 776 of the family's 1533-position model. The record is from RNAcentral.
UACGUAGGCAGCGAGCGUUGUUCGGAGUUACUGGGCGUAAAGCGUGCGUAGGCGGUGUCUUAAGUUUGUUGUGAAAUCUCCCGGCUUAACCGGGAGGGUGCGGCGAAUACUGAGAUGCUGGAGUGCCGGAGAGGUAAGCGGAAUUCCUGGUGUAGCGGUGAAAUGCGCAGAUAUCAGGAAGAACACCCGUGGCGAAAGCGGCUCUCUGGAACGGUACUGACGCUGAGACGCGAAAGCGUGCGGAGCGAACAGG